Molecule: long non-coding RNA, 224 nt
Filed under: Gallus gallus (chicken)
Lineage: Eukaryota; Metazoa; Chordata; Aves; Galliformes; Phasianidae
Source: RNAcentral
CUUAUUUCUUGUGUAUCACUGUCACUGUGAUUCACUUUGCUCUGUCUUAAUUGUUUAUUAAGAAGUCGACAAACAGCAGCUGGGAACAAAGUCAUGAAGUUCCAAAGAACCUUCUGAUGCCAGCUGAAAUCGAUGAACGAGUUAUUGCUGAGUUCAGAAGAUCCUGAAUCCUAAAAUGUUAACAACCAUUCCCUUGGAAGAUGCUGCACAUUAAUCACUUUGUA